GACGAACGCUGGCGGCGUGCCUAAUACAUGCAAGUCGAACGAGAGCACCCGGUGCUUGCCCUGGUCAAUCUAGUGGCGAACGGGUGAGUAACACGUGGGUAACCUGCCCAUCAGAGGGGGAUAACAUCCGGAAACGGAUGCUAAAACCGCAUAGGUCUUCGAACCGCAUGGUUUGAAGAGGAAAAGAGGCGCAAGCUUCUGCUGAUGGAUGGACCCGCGGUGCAUUAGCUAGUUGGUGAGGUAACGGCUCACCAAGGCCGUGAUGCAUAGCCGACCUGAGAGGGUGAUCGGCCACAUUGGGACUGAGACACGGCCCAAACUCCUACGGGAGGCAGCAGUAGGGAAUCUUCCGCAAUGGACGCAAGUCUGACGGAGCAACGCCGCGUGAGUGAAGAAGGUUUUCGGAUCGUAAAACUCUGUUGUUAGAGAAGAACAAGUGCUAGAGUAACUGUUAGCGCCUUGACGGUAUCUAACCAGAAAGCCACGGCUAACUACGUG
This 498-nucleotide ribosomal RNA is filed under the name uncultured bacterium. RNAcentral describes it as "partial 16S ribosomal RNA". It matches the Rfam family "Bacterial small subunit ribosomal RNA", at positions 28 to 507 of the family's 1533-position model. The record is from RNAcentral.